GGUAGCGUGGCCGAGUGGUCUAAGGCGUUGGAUUUAAGAUUUAAGAAAUUUUGACUCCCAAUGACGAAAGUCGCGCGAGUUCGAACCUCGCCGCUACCA
This 99-nucleotide transfer RNA is filed under the name Agrocybe pediades. It matches the Rfam family "tRNA". From Rfam's summary of the family: Transfer RNA (tRNA) molecules are approximately 80 nucleotides in length. Their secondary structure includes four short double-helical elements and three loops (D, anti-codon, and T loops). The record is from Rfam by way of RNAcentral. Lineage: Eukaryota; Fungi; Basidiomycota; Agaricomycetes; Agaricales; Agrocybaceae.